Molecule: unclassified non-coding RNA, 270 nt
Filed under: Hevea brasiliensis (rubber tree)
Lineage: Eukaryota; Viridiplantae; Streptophyta; Magnoliopsida; Malpighiales; Euphorbiaceae
Source: RNAcentral
AAAUGCAGAGAAAUUUCAGAAGCGAGAGAGUCACGGUCAUGAGCAUCGGAAGCAAAAGAGCACCGAUCAACGCUGGCAGAAGCAGAAGAGAACAGACUAAAGUUGGACUCGAGAGUUAAAAUCACAGAGUCAGGGCUAGCAUCGCGAGCUCUAAAACCCGAUCUCGACGAGUUCUGAUCCUGAAGCCCAAGCUCCGGCAUUUUCAAUUUUUCACUUUCUAGUCUAAGAAGAAGCCAAAGAAAGCAGAGAGUGAGUGAGAUUUCAUCAUUU